This 776-nucleotide ribosomal RNA is filed under the name uncultured bacterium. RNAcentral's name for it is "bacterial SSU rRNA". It matches the Rfam family "Bacterial small subunit ribosomal RNA", at positions 8 to 796 of the family's 1533-position model. The record is from RNAcentral.
AGAGUUUGAUCAUGGCUCAGAAUGAACGCUGGCGGCGUGCUUAAUACAUGCAAGUCGAACGGAAUCCAAGGAGCUUGCUCCUGAAGAUUUAGUGGCGAACGGGUGAGUAUCACGUGAGCAACCUGCCCCGAAGAUCGGGAUAACACCGGGAAACCGGUGCUAAUACCGAAUACCCUCUACUUAUCGCAUGGUAGGUCGAGGAAAUGUUUUUCGCUUCGGGAGGGGCUCGCGGUCCAUCAGCUUGUUGGCGGGGUAACGGCCCACCAAGGCUACGACGGAUAGCUGGUCUGAGAGGACGAUCAGCCACACUGGAACUGAGACACGGUCCAGACUCCUACGGGAGGCAGCAGUAGGGAAUCUUGCGCAAUGGGCGAAAGCCUGACGCAGCAACGCCGCGUGAGGGACGAAGGCUUUCUGAGUUGUAAACCUCUUUCGACAGGAACGAUUGUGACGGUACCUGUAGAAGAAGCACCGGCCAACUAUGUGCCAGCAGCCGCGGUGAUACAUAGGGUGCAAGCGUUAUUCGGAUUUAUUGGGCGUAAAGAGCUCGUAGGCGGUUCAGCAAGUCGGGUGUUAAACCCCCAGGCUCAACCUGGGGCCGCCACUCGAAACUGUUGUGACUAGAGUUUGGUAGGGGAUCACGGAAUUCCUGGUGUAGCGGUGGAAUGCGCAGAUAUCAGGAGGAACACCAGUAGCGAAGGCGGUGAUCUGGGCCAAUACUGACGCUGAGGAGCGAAAGCGUGGGGAGCGAACAGGAUUAGAUACCCCGGUAGUCC